This 279-nucleotide ribosomal RNA is filed under the name uncultured bacterium. Its description in RNAcentral is "partial 16S ribosomal RNA". It matches the Rfam family "Bacterial small subunit ribosomal RNA", at positions 506 to 784 of the family's 1533-position model. The record is from RNAcentral.
UGCCAGCAGCCGCGGUAAUACGGAGGAUCCAAGCGUUAUCCGGAAUUAUUGGGUUUAAAGGGUCCGCAGGCUGUUUGUUAAGUCAGGGGUGAAAUCCUACCGCUCAACGGUAGAACUGCCUUUGAUACUGGCAAACUUGAGUUAUUGUGAAGUAGUUAGAAUGUGUAGUGUGGCGGUGAAAUGCAUAGAUAUUACACAGAAUACCGAUUGCGAAGGCAGAUUACUAACAAUAUACUGACGCUCAGGGACGAAAGCUAGGGGAGCAAACAGGAUUAGAUA